GCAUCUGUUGAGGCAUCUUUCGCUUAUGAGUUUCUUUUGGAUGCAUGUACGUGAGAUCUGAGCUGCAACCUUUGUGUUUGUUGACAUUCUCAUAACUAAGCCCAAUAUGUUUAGGCUUUAGAACAUUUUUCUCUAAGAUUUCUUCUAGUUGACCAUCAGCUUUAUGAAGUUUAUCAAGAUGAUCAUCAUCUUUAUACAACAUGUCGGAGAAUUUUCUCAAACGCCAAAUGUCAGCAUUUAAGUUUUCAAUGACUUCCUUAGCUUCAUCAAGAUCAGAGGAUAGAUAAUUUACCUUCUUCUGGAGCUCAUCCAUCUUUGAUAUAUUUUCAAAUUUUUCUGCCUUUAAUUGAUUGAUGGUUACCUUUUGUUUCUUAAUGACUCUGCAUAUUUCUCCACUCUUGAGGCAGAGUUCUUUGUAAGAAUCAGCAAGUUCUUCGUAGGUUACCUCUCCAUCACAAGAUUCUGUAUCAGAUGUAAUAGUACCUGUUAAGACUGGGAUAUGUUUGGCAGUCACAGAUGCUGUAUCAUCUUCUGAGUCAUCAUCAUCAGACCAACUGACAG
This 561-nucleotide long non-coding RNA is filed under the name Trifolium pratense (red clover). Its description in RNAcentral is "long non-coding RNA (TPRA_LNC010709)". The record is from RNAcentral. Lineage: Eukaryota; Viridiplantae; Streptophyta; Magnoliopsida; Fabales; Fabaceae.